UCAUGUCGGCAGAGCAACAAAGGCAAACUUUGGCAACAACUUGAUUGUCUAACUGAAAUGAGCUGAGCUUUGGAAAAGUGGAAAAGAAAUAUGCCUUUUUUUCGCUGUAUUUCAGAAUGCUGAAAGAAUGAAAUGGACGCAUGUCAGCCCAAAGACAUAAAGCGAAAGAAACCACUUCAUGUCCAGAAGCAUGUCCUAGAAGACAACUGCUAAAGACAAGGGAGUAGUAAAGAAAAGAAAAAAAAAAAAAAGAAGAAGGAAAAAAAAGUCUUCAAAGCAAAUGAAAAGAAACAGACAGUUCUUCAAAACAAGAGAGGAAAUUGGAAAAAGAACAUUUGUGGAAGAAAAAAAGCAUGUGGAAUUUCUCUAAACAGAAGAUGGAAUGAUCUAUUUUACCUGAAGAGAGUGGAAGGAUCAAGGAAAGGACAAGAACUAAUGCUCUAAUUUAGAGGACUCAAGUGCCAUUUUUGCCCAUUCUUCGUCAGAGAUUGCACUAUUCAGGUACUUUGCUUUUUUUAGAUGAAUGCCCUAAUUUCUUCCUGUUAUACAGUGGAGAAAUCUUAGUUCUAUAUUAAAAAGGUCUCAUCACCAGCCUCAGACACCUUGGAAUAUGGAAUACAAAGAAACUGCCAUUGAAUGAAUAAAAAGGUUUCCCACUUUAGGGAAGAAAGCCCAUAAAAUAGAAGGUCAAAAUUAGCUUUUUUUGAAUAGAUAAUCAAGGAGAGCCUCCAAAGGUAACCCAAGUCAUAUCUGUGUUCCAAAGAUGGUUGAACUUGAAAUCACAAUUUACUAAGUUUUGCAAAUAAUGACAGGAAGGAGUAUUUGAGAAACAAAAGGUAUUGAUAAAUAAAUGUAGUCAAUGUUUAAGUUAACCUUUGUAAACAGAUAAGCAAAACAGUUCAGAAGUUUACAAGUCAUAUUUUAAAUUAUUAAAACCUAUUUUCUUUGUACUGAAC
This 956-nucleotide long non-coding RNA is filed under the name Macaca mulatta (Rhesus monkey). Its description in RNAcentral is "lncRNA (ENSMMUG00000053212.1)". Lineage: Eukaryota; Metazoa; Chordata; Mammalia; Primates; Cercopithecidae. The record is from RNAcentral.